Molecule: transfer RNA, 64 nt
Filed under: Statilia sp. FY-2016a
Lineage: Eukaryota; Metazoa; Arthropoda; Insecta; Mantodea; Mantidae
Also listed under: 2 other names
Description: tRNA-Gly
Source: RNAcentral
AUUUAUUUAGUAUAAUAAGUACAUUUGAUUUCCAAUCAAAGAGUCUAAAAAUUUAGAAUAAAUA